RNAcentral lists this ribosomal RNA (119 nucleotides) under Neodiprion lecontei (redheaded pine sawfly). Lineage: Eukaryota; Metazoa; Arthropoda; Insecta; Hymenoptera; Diprionidae. The record is from RNAcentral.
GGCAACGGCCAUACCACGUUGCAAGCACCGGUUCUCGUCCGAUCACCGAAGUUAAGCAACGUUGGGCGCGGUCAGUACUUGGAUGGGUGACCGCUUGGGAACACCGCGUGCCGUUGGCA